Molecule: long non-coding RNA, 453 nt
Filed under: Populus trichocarpa (black cottonwood)
Lineage: Eukaryota; Viridiplantae; Streptophyta; Magnoliopsida; Malpighiales; Salicaceae
Description: long non-coding RNA (PTRI_LNC003022)
Source: RNAcentral
UUUUUUUUAAUUAACAUACUUUAUGAAUUUAUUUUUUUCUUUUCUUUUCUCAGCUUCACUCGCAAUUAAAUUAAGGUAAAAUUUUUCUUUUUUCUUCUCUUUUUUGUGUUUUUUUUUCAUUAUAUAUUUUUUUAUUUUUAAAUUUUUCUGCUCUUAGUAAUUGCAUGAAGUUUGUUGUAGGAUUGUUUUUUUCAUAUGAGAUCAAUUUUGUUGGAUUUAUUUUAGUUCUUAAUUUAAUUAUUUGUUGCUGGAUUAUGGUUUUGGAAUUGGUUUUCUAGGUUAGGUGAGUUUUUUUUUGUUGAUUUAUUUUUUGUUACUAUUGUUUAUUUUUUUUUGUUAUUUAUUUGUUGUAAAUUUCUUUGAGUUGAUUUUCUUCUUCUUUUUUUCAAGCAACUAUGUUCCUGAGUAUUAUUGAGUGUUGAUUUAUAUUAAUUUAAUUAUUUUCUACUUCUG